This 253-nucleotide ribosomal RNA is filed under the name uncultured bacterium. Its description in RNAcentral is "partial 16S ribosomal RNA". It matches the Rfam family "Bacterial small subunit ribosomal RNA", at positions 524 to 776 of the family's 1533-position model. The record is from RNAcentral.
UACAGAGGUCCCAAGCGUUGUUCGGAUUUACUGGGCGUAAAGGGAGCGUAGGUGGCUUUCUAAGUCUGAUGUGAAAGCUCUGAGCUUAACUCAGAAAUGGCAUUAGAAACUAGUUUGCUAGAGGAUUGGAGGGGAGAUUGGAAUACUUGGUGUAGCAGUGAAAUGCGUAGAUAUCAAGUGGAACACCAGUGGCGAAGGCGAAUCUCUGGACAAUUCCUGACACUGAUGCUCGAAAGCUAGGGGAGCAAACGGG